CCUACGGGGGGCAGCAGUAGGGAAUAUUGCUCAAUGGGGGAAACCCUGAAGCAGCAACGCCGCGUGGGGGAUGAAGGUUUUCGGAUUGUAAACUCCUUUUGUUAGAGAAGAUAAUGACGGUAUCUAACGAAUAAGCACCGGCUAACUCCGUGCCAGCAGCCGCGGUAAUACGGAGGGUGCAAGCGUUACUCGGAAUCACUGGGCGGAAAGAGCGCGUAGGCGGGAUAGCAAGUCAGAUGUGAAAUCCUAUGGCUUAACCAUAGAACUGCAUUUGAAACUGUUAUUCUAGAGUAUGGGAGAGGUAGGUGGAAUGCUUGGUGUAGGGGUAAAAUCCGUAGAGAUCAAGAGGAAUACUCAUUGCGAAGGCGACCUGCUAGAACAUAACUGACGCUGAUGCGCGAAAGCGUGGGGAGCAAACAGGAGUAGAUACCCCGGUAGUC
Molecule: ribosomal RNA, 440 nt
Filed under: uncultured bacterium
Lineage: Bacteria
Description: partial 16S ribosomal RNA
Rfam family: Bacterial small subunit ribosomal RNA
Source: RNAcentral